UCACGACAGAAGAGCCGUCGAGACCCGACAAGAGCGGUUUUGGAAAUUGUACACGUGAAAACACGAGUUUAACACCACACUGUACAUACCCCACCGUCCUGUGUCCUCUGUGUUGGACAUGAGAUCUGCCAUUGAAAAGCUCAAACUAAGAGAAGUGUUUCCAGAAUGUCCAUGGCAGAGGCCACAGACAGAGCUUCACUGAGUGUGGAUACAAACCCAUAGUCGGAUCUAAACUAAG
Long non-coding RNA from Triplophysa dalaica, 238 nucleotides. RefSeq lists it as uncharacterized. The transcript is spliced from 3 exons. NCBI's taxonomy places the organism in Eukaryota, Metazoa, Chordata, Actinopteri, Cypriniformes, Nemacheilidae. The record is from RefSeq and is a predicted model, not a curated record.